AACCGACACAGGUGGUCAGGUAGAGAAUACCAAGGCGCUUGAGAGAACUCGGGUGAAGGAACUAGGCAAAAUGGUGCCGUAACUUCGGGAGAAGGCACGCUGACACGUAGGUGAAGUGAUUUACUCAUGGAGCUGAAGUCAGUCGAAGAUACCAGCUGGCUGCAACUGUUUAUUAAAAACACAGCACUGUGCAAACACGAAAGUGGACGUAUACGGUGUGACGCAUGCCCGGU
This 233-nucleotide ribosomal RNA is filed under the name Salmonella enterica subsp. enterica serovar Cerro. RNAcentral's name for it is "partial 23S ribosomal RNA". It matches the Rfam family "Bacterial large subunit ribosomal RNA", at positions 1652 to 1867 of the family's 2925-position model. Lineage: Bacteria; Pseudomonadati; Pseudomonadota; Gammaproteobacteria; Enterobacterales; Enterobacteriaceae. The record is from RNAcentral.